GAUGAACGCUGGCGGCGUGCCUAAUACAUGCAAGUCGAGCGAACAGAUAAGGGGCUUGCUCCUUUGCAGUUAGCGGCGGACGGGUGAGUAACACGUGGGUAACCUACCUAUAAGACUGGGAUAACUUCGGGAAACCGGAGCUAAUACCGGAUAACAUUUAGAACCGCAUGGUUCUAAAGUGAAAGAUGGUUUUGCUAUCACUUAUAGAUGGACCCGCGCCGGAUUAGCUAGUUGGUAAGGUAACGGCUUACCAAGGCGACGAUACGUAGCCGACCUGAGAGGGUGAUCGGCCACACUGGAACUGAGACACGGUCCAGACUCCUACGGGAGGCAGCAGUAGGGAAUCUUCCGCAAUGGGCGAAAGCCUGACGGAGCAACGCCGCGUGAGUGAUGAAGGGUUUCGGCUCGUAAAACUCUGUUAUUAGGGAAGAACAAAUGUGUAAGUAACUGUGCACAUCUUGACGGUACCUAAUCAGAAAGCCACGGCUAACUACGUG
This 497-nucleotide ribosomal RNA is filed under the name uncultured bacterium. Its description in RNAcentral is "partial 16S ribosomal RNA". It matches the Rfam family "Bacterial small subunit ribosomal RNA", at positions 28 to 507 of the family's 1533-position model. The record is from RNAcentral.